CGGUAAUUCCAGCUCCAAUAGCGUAUAUUAAAGUUGUUGCAGUUAAAAAGCUCGUAGUUGGAUUUCGGAGCGGGUGAGUUGGCCCGCCGCAAGGGGUGUUACUGACUGGCUUGCUCUUCUUCGCAUACACUGCUAGUGCUCUUUAUUGAGUGUGCGAGAGGACAUAGCUUACGUUUACUUUGAAAGAAUUAGAGUGGUCAAAGCAGGCUAUUGCUUGAAUGCAUGAGCAUGGAAUAAUGGAGUAGGACUUUGGUCCCAUUUUGUUGGUUUCUAGGACCGAAGUAAUGAUUAAGAGGGACAAUUGGGGGCAUCCGGAUUUAGUUGACAUACGUGAAAUUCUUGGAUUUACGAUUGACCAACAACUGCUAAAGCACUUGCCUAGAUUGUUUUCAUUAAUCAAGAACGAAAGUUAGAAGAUCGAAAACCAUCAGAUACCGUCCUAGUUCUAACCAUAAACGAUGUCGACGAGGGAUCAGCGGCCGCUAUCGCACCACCCCGUUGGUACCUUACUGUAAACCCAAGUUUCUGGUUUCCGGGGGAAGUAUAGUCGCAGGUCCGAAACUUAAAGGAAUUGACGGAAGGGCCCCCCCAGGAGUGGAGCCUGUGGUUCAAUUUGUCUCCACGCGGGGAAACUUCCCAGGUCCAGACAUAGUAAGGAUUGACAGGUUGAGAUCCCUUUCUUGAUUCUAUGGGUGGUGGCGCAUGCCCUUUUUUAGUUGGGGGAGUGAUUUGUGUGGUUAAUUCCGUUAGCGAGCGAGACCUUAACCGGAUAAAUAGUCAUUCGAUUCUAGAAUAGUAACUGAUUUUUUAGAGGGGCUGUUGGCGUUUAGUCAAAGUCAGGAAGGCAAUCAACAGCUGUUGAUGCCCUUAGAUGUUCUUGGCCGCACGCGCGGUACUCCGUCGGAUUCAGCGACUAUUAACCUUAACCGAAAGGUUUGGGUAACCUUUUGAAAGUCCGUCGUGAUGGGGAUUGGUCAUUGCAAUUAUUGAUCAUGAACGAGGAAUUCCUAGUAAAUGCGAGUCAUCAGCUCGCGUUGAUUACGUCCCUGCCCCUUGUACACACCGCCC
RNAcentral lists this ribosomal RNA (1068 nucleotides) under uncultured eukaryote. RNAcentral describes it as "bacterial SSU rRNA". It matches the Rfam family "Eukaryotic small subunit ribosomal RNA", at positions 577 to 1674 of the family's 1831-position model. The record is from RNAcentral.